CCGUGCUAAAUGGGGAGAUAGCGGUGCCCUGUACCUGCAAUCCGCUUCAGCAGGGUUGAAUUCCUAUAAUAUGAGGCUUGUCUUGGUGAGAAUGAAUUAGAAGAAAGGAUGCUGAUAGAUGGGUCCUGUGCUAUUCUUAAUUGCCCAACCCCGUCAGGUUCGGAAGGAAGCAGCGGUAAGUAGUUGAGAGUGUGUCACAGGGGUGCCUGUCUGGAGUCUGGACUUAGAAUUAUCACUCGUUAAGGCCUGUCGAAGAUAGGUGCACGG
Non-coding RNA from Candidatus Desantisbacteria bacterium CG2_30_40_21, 267 nucleotides. The record is from Rfam. Lineage: Bacteria; Candidatus Desantisiibacteriota.